Long non-coding RNA from Alosa alosa (allis shad), 592 nucleotides. RefSeq lists it as uncharacterized. The transcript is spliced from 3 exons. The record is from RefSeq and is a predicted model, not a curated record. Lineage: Eukaryota; Metazoa; Chordata; Actinopteri; Clupeiformes; Clupeidae.
UAUAAUUCAUGUUCACGAUUCAUAUUCAACAAUGGGAAAACCCAUUUUCGGGGUGUUUCGUUAUUUCAUUGUUCAAAUACGUGAAAUGAAAUUGAGAGCACGGACUCGUCACCUUAUGCUAUUCUCAACUUUGAAAAUGAAAGUUGAACAAGGAUGUAUAUCAUUGUCCAAAUAGGCGAACGCACGGAACCGUCACCUUAUACCAUUCUCAACUUGGAAAAUGAAAAUUGAAACAAGGAAGUUGGGAGACAGGGGAAAGUGUCAAAAUAAAAGUUGCGUACGUCGUUAUGUCUGUCCGGUGCCAGACCGACGGGGAUGCCGAUGGACGCCUAAUCACGCCAGCACGCCGGCGAAAGAAGUUGUUCCAGCAGUAGCCUACCCGAGAAGCUCAGCAGUGCCAUUCAUAGAAUCGCUCAUCUAGCAAUACCAAGAAAGUACUUAAAACCGAGCUGAAGAUGGCAAGCCCAAGUUGGUAAACCCAAAUACCCCAGCAGGGUGUCAGAAGUCCACACUGAUGUCCACCAAGGAGGCCCGCAUCUAUAUCUACUGGGAGAAGAGGAUCACAUUACCAACACCUCAAAAGGAGCUGAUU